RNAcentral lists this long non-coding RNA (1403 nucleotides) under Mus caroli (Ryukyu mouse). Its description in RNAcentral is "RIKEN cDNA 5330439B14 gene (MGP_CAROLIEiJ_G0003957.1)". The record is from RNAcentral. Lineage: Eukaryota; Metazoa; Chordata; Mammalia; Rodentia; Muridae.
UGGUUUGUAACAGAGUGACACAUGGAUAGGAUGCGUGACAGGCAAGUGGACUCCAGAGUCGCUCUGCUGAGUUCUGGAUAGAGUCCAAGGGGGAAAGUGUUUGCUCCGUUUUCAUGCUACAGCUAGGAAAAGAAGCCACUGCUAUGACAAAUCUUCAUUAAAGGUCACUUUGUGAUGCCACAGUAUUGAUGGAUCCCAUGCUGUGAGACUUGGCCUAUGCCAUCCGGGCUACAGAAAUCACAGUAUGUUCUACCUGUGUUUGAGGGGUUUAUUUCAUUUUUCCAAAUGAUGUUGAGCUGGGCUGGAUGAGAACCAGUGGAGACAGAAAACCAUGCAUUUACAACAGGUACAUGGAAAUUUCUGUGAGCCCCAUGUCUCCAGUCUCUUAAAGUGAUGGCGUGCCUUGCAAGACACUCAAGAUCAUCCAACUACAUAGUCAUGGAUAAUUUAUCUCCGUGUCUGUUAUCUUCUACUAUUUCAUACCCCGUGUUUGAAGGAUUUUGUGACUUUAACCCUUUUUUUUUCUUUGGGAUAUACUGCCUCUCAAUUGCUCACUCUUCAGGACAAUGUGAGUUUCCUGCUAAUGUUAGAUUCAGGAAAAGAACCAAAGAAUGCAAGAGCUGGCACACCUAUGGGCUCUCAACUCAACAGACAAAUUCUUGACAAACCAAACGGCAUGUUAACAUGUGUCAGCAGCAUAUUUGCAUGUGCCAAGGGUGAGGAAGAAGCAGUCACUUUUCGAAAGGAUGGUGGUGGGACUCACAUGGAAACAUGAGGAGUUAGCAAAGCCAGUUGUCUUCUCCACUAAACUCUUCACCUUAAACACUAGAGCAGAAACAGUUCCCAAUCAUCAAAUGUACAGAAUAGUCUCACUUACUUAGAGGCAACCCGGAAGUAUUUCUGGAUGAAAUAAAAGGCUACACCCAGGGGUGCAAGGGCGACUAGAAACACGGGUGUAGCAUAGGAGAUCAUCCCAAUAGCAGACAGGCAGAGCAGGGUGGAGCGCGUCAGCGACUCCAAGGUCGGAGGGAUAUGCUGUGGGGAGAGAGUACAAAGGACAAUGCAUUUAGCUCAUGUGCAAUAUCGGUGACAGUGUAAUAACAUUCAUGUUUAUAUUAAUGUUAAGUAAUGGGAGCCACCACCAAAGCAAGCUGUAGGCCUGCUCACAGUAGACAAUUGCACAUGCGUCCACAGUUCAGCAUCCAUGCAUCAUUGACAUGGUGUCCACCCACUCAUCUCGGAUACUGUAGAUAAACGUUUAUACCAGAAGUUUGUUGGCUUUACUAUGAUCAAAUAUGGGUAUUUCCCCAUCCGUGUUUUCAAACAUUCCUUUCUAAUGGAUAUACACUGUUUAAAAUUCAUCUAGUCUUCCCACUGUAAAAUGUGUAGAUUAUUUUUUCAGC